Molecule: ribosomal RNA, 513 nt
Filed under: uncultured bacterium
Lineage: Bacteria
Description: partial 16S ribosomal RNA
Rfam family: Bacterial small subunit ribosomal RNA
Source: RNAcentral
GAUGAACGCUGGCGGCGUGCCUAAUACAUGCAAGUCGAGCGAACGGAUAAGGAGCUUGCUCCUUUGAAGUUAGCGGCGGACGGGUGAGUAACACGUGGGUAACCUACCUAUAAGACUGGAAUAACUUCGGGAAACCGGAGCUAAUGCCGGAUAACAUUUGGAACUGCAUGGUUCUAAAGUAAAAGAUGGUUUUGCUAUCACUUAUAGAUGGACCCGCGCCGUAUUAGCUAGUUGGUAAGGUAACGGCUUACCAAGGCAACGAUACGUAGCCGACCGGAGAGGGUGAUCGGCCACACUGGAACUGGGACACGGUCCAGACUCCUACGGGAGGCAGCAGUAGGGAAUCUUCCGCAAUGGACGAAAGUCUGACGGAGCAACGCCGCGUGAGUGAUGAAGGUUUUCGGAUCGUAAAACUCUGUUAUUAGGGAAGAACAAAUGUGUAAGUAACUGUGCACAUCUUGACGGCACCUAAUCAGAAAGCCACGGCUAACUACGUGCCAGCCGCCGCAGUAA